UGUUAAACUUUUUUCUAUUUCUACUGUUAAAAAUGGGUAUGACUGAUAAAAUAACCAAAUAGCUACACGUGGUGUGCCACAUGUACCUCAUGCUAGUGUAAAGGAACCGACUUUUAAUAGUAAAAACAACCAAACUUUUUGCUA
This is a non-coding RNA of Gossypium raimondii (Peruvian cotton), 144 nucleotides long. The record is from Rfam. NCBI's taxonomy places the organism in Eukaryota, Viridiplantae, Streptophyta, Magnoliopsida, Malvales, Malvaceae.